GACGAACGCCGGCGGCGUGCCUAAUACAUGCAAGUCGAACGCUGAAGGAGGAGCUUGCUUCUCUGGAUGAGUUGCGAACGGGUGAGUAACGCGUAGGUAACCUGCCUGGUAGCGGGGGAUAACUAUUGGAAACGAUAGCUAAUACCGCAUAAGAGUAGAUGUUGCAUGACAUUUGCUUAAAAGGUGCAAUUGCAUCACUACCAGAUGGACCUGCGUUGUAUUAGCUAGUUGGUGGGGUAACGGCUCACCAAGGCGACGAUACAUAGCCGACCUGAGAGGGUGAUCGGCCACACUGGGACUGAGACACGGCCCAGACUCCUACGGGAGGCAGCAGUAGGGAAUCUUCGGCAAUGGACGGAAGUCUGACCGAGCAACGCCGCGUGAGUGAAGAAGGGUUUCGGAUCGUAAAGCUCUGUUGUAAGAGAAGAACGAGUGUGAGAGUGGAAAGUUCACACUGUGACGGUAUCUUACCAGAAAGGGACGGCUAACUACGUG
RNAcentral lists this ribosomal RNA (495 nucleotides) under uncultured bacterium. RNAcentral's name for it is "partial 16S ribosomal RNA". It matches the Rfam family "Bacterial small subunit ribosomal RNA", at positions 28 to 507 of the family's 1533-position model. The record is from RNAcentral.